Molecule: long non-coding RNA, 1132 nt
Organism: Pipistrellus kuhlii (Kuhl's pipistrelle)
Lineage: Eukaryota; Metazoa; Chordata; Mammalia; Chiroptera; Vespertilionidae
Exons: 2
Source: RefSeq, a predicted model, not a curated record
AUAACAGUAAAAUAAAACCCCACAGUCUUAGCACCCUGACAUAGUAACUUAUUACUUAAAAUUCUUUUAUCUUCUAAAUAACUAAUACAUGUGAGUAAUUUCAUAGGCAAAACUGUAUUUAUUACAGUAUAGUAUUUAUUUCCCCACUGUUAUUCAGACCAGCCCUUCCUUCAACUACAGUUCCUUGCAUUAUAAGGAUCCUUCCUGAAUUCUAUAUUGGCAACAUUUGUCUUUUUAAUUUGAGCCUACAUUGAAUUGUGUUCUAAUCAACCAGCAAAGCAGAGCCCUCCUUUCCCAUUCAUGUCCACACCUCUAUCAUACGACAUAUAAAAAGAAAGGGCAGCUUUUUGCUCUAUUGUAUUAGAAGAUUCCUUUUUUUUUUAGUUACUACUUUUCAGGACGUCUGAGCUUUCCCCCUUUUUAAAUUUUCAGUUCCUAUGUUUUCCCAUGAAGCUCCAAUGUAUAGAAACAAUUAGUCCAUGAUAUGGAAUUAAGAUAUCUAUAUUAAUAAGUAAUAGUAGCAGCAGCAGCAUUGAUUUCUCCUGUUCCCAGCCUUGUGUUCACAUAUAAUUUAUUACUAGUUACCAAAAUGAUAGCUUGUACAGAUUCUCACUACUCCUCAGAGCAGUUCUGUAAAGUUUUUAUCUUUAGUUUUAUGUGUAAUGUAACUGUGACUCAGGAAAAUUUAAAAUAAGUUUGCCCUAAGUCACAUAGCUAAAAAUAGCUAUAACCAAUGAGACUCUUGAGUGACCUAAUUGUAAAGCCUGUGAUGUUUUUAUGGUGAGCCUAAGACAGAUAUGUUUGAAUGCAAAUUUUCUUUUUCUUUCAACACUUUAAGGUUUGUUGAGAUGUUCAUGACCUUCUAAUAGGUAUACCCAUAGUCUGGGGUUUUUAAUCUGCUGAAACUGAUUUUCUGUUUGGUGUAUUAUAAACUCCCAAUGAAUUUCCAAAUAGAUAAACAACCUAAACAUAAUAGGACUGUUGAAUAGAUCUUGCUAGGCUUAUAGAACGCAGCUUUUCUUGCUUAAGAUCAUGACUUUCCUAUUUUUGUUGCCUCAUUAUAGUUGAACUAGAGGCUGGCUAAAUAGUACUUAUAUUGAUGAUUAAAGUACAUGAAGUACUAUCCUAUAUA